Molecule: RNA transcript, 2365 nt
Organism: Hibiscus syriacus
Lineage: Eukaryota; Viridiplantae; Streptophyta; Magnoliopsida; Malvales; Malvaceae
Gene name: pentatricopeptide repeat-containing protein At4g32450, mitochondrial-like
Exons: 3
Source: RefSeq, a predicted model, not a curated record
UUCAACCCUAAUUUCCUGAAACAAAAAACCCAAAGUGCCUCACUUUCUCCUUCUCGACGGACAACAGUCGACUCUCCCACCUCACCCAGUCACCGUGCAUCCAUCUCAGCUCUCACCUGAGACGGCGGACACUGGGUUCUCAUCCAGUAGCCGCUACAAUCCAGCACUCACUGUUCUCUCAGCCGCGAAACUUGGAAGCAGCAAGCAUCAAUGUCCUGCAAGAGUUUUUCAGUUUUGAACAUAAACUAUCUCACCGCUUUAUCUAAGGUAUGUUCUUCAGGACGUUUCCCUCGUUCAGUCACACAUUUCAAGAAGUUUCUCAGCACUGCGGCUGAAAGGUGGGAUUAUGUUAGCCCUCAUAGCACCCGUCAGUUUGAGAAUCCUCCGUAUGAUACCCCAAGUUCACUAGGCUAUGAGCAGAAACAAAAUGGGCACGCCUUAAACACAAACCAAGGUUUUGAAGUAUGCCCUACGGGUGAUUAUGGGGGGACUCGGUACCGGAAAAAUCCACAAGAUAUCUAUAAGUUUACUUCUUAUGGUCAAGUGACAAAUAACACUUUUUCUUAUGGACAAGUAACAAGUAACGUUAAUUUUUAUGGUCAAGUAUCUGCUAUUUCCGACUCUAAGGAAGGGUUAACUGAGAUUUCUGAAACUAGCUCAAAUAAUGCUACGAUUGAGAUGCUGGAGGAAUUUUGCAAUAAAAGGAAUGUUAAAGAAGCAUUAGAAGUUUUGGGGUCGAUGAGACAGCAAGGUGUUCAUGUGGAUUUGACCCAAAUUUUACGCAUAAUGAAGGCAUGUGGAGAAGUGAAAGCUUUACCAGAAGCGAAAACUGUUCAUGAAUACCUCUUAGGAUCACUUUCACCUCUCAAGAUAAGCAUCUAUAAUAAGAUUUUAGAGAUGUACAUGAAAUGUGGUUCGACUGUUGAUGCAUUUGAUGUGUUUGACAAGAUGCCGAAGCGCAAUCUAACAUCUUGGGAUAUUAUGAUCACAUGGCUUGCUAGGAAUGGGAUAGGGGAGGAUGCCCUUGACCUGUUUUAUCAGUUUAAGCAGGCAGGCUUGAAACCAGAUGCCAAAAUGUUUGUUGCUGUGUUUUAUGCUUGUGGUGUUGUGGGCGAUAUUAAUGAGGGAAUGCUCCACUUUUCGUCAAUGAGCAGUGAUUAUGGCAUUGUCCCAUCCAUGGAGCAUUAUGUAAGCAUUGUUGACAUGCUGGGGAGUACAGGGCAUCUGGAUGAAGCAUUGGAAUUCAUUGAGAAGAUCCCAUUUGAGCCCAGUGCUGAUGUUUGGGAAACUUUAAUGAAUCUCUGCAGAGUUCAUGGGUACUUGGAACUUGGGGAUCGUUGUGCUGAGCUUGUGGAGGUACUAGAUCCCUCCCGCUUGAAUGAACAAUCAAAAGCAGGCCUUAUACCUUUGAAAGAUUUGGAUCUUCAACAUAAUGAGAAGAAGAAAUUGGCAAAUCAAAGUCCUCUUGAAGUCAGAAGCAGGGUCAAUGAGUAUCGUGCAGGAGAUACAUCACAUCCUGAGAAUGAUAGAAUCUAUGCACUGCUGAGAAGUUUGAAAGAACAGAUGAAAGAAGCUGGUUAUGUUCCAGAAACGAAAUUUGUUUUGCAUGAUAUAGAUCAGGAAAGUAAGGAAGAAGCUCUUCUUGCUCAUAGUGAGAGGCUUGCUCUUGCUAAUGGUCUCCUCACUACUCCAGCUCGUGGACAGGUUCGUAUAAUAAAGAAUCUUCGUGUUUGUGGUGAUUGCCAUGCUGCAUUUAAGAUCAUGUCAAAGAUUGUUGGCAGAAUGAUCAUAAUGCGAGAUGCUAAGAGGUUUCAUCAUUUCAGUGAAGGGAUAUGUUCUUGUCGAGAUUAUUGGUGAUUAAAAUAGAACUUGAGAACAUCCAAAUGCUUUGGAUUCAAUAUGCUAACAGCCAAAUUCACUUUUAUGGCCUAUGACUACUCUCCACGCAGGGGAAGCUGGUGCCAAUUUGGUACCUUCACAUCUUUAAUCACUGGAAUGGGUGUUGUUCAGAUAGUUUCUACAACUGGGGCAGUUUAUAGGUUCCUGCACCAUCAAUUGGCUGGGAUAACACAGCUUGGUUUGAUCGGACAAGCACCGUCGUUAGUUUGCAUUCAAUCAUAGUUGGUUCAUUCAUUCACAUGUUUCAUCUUUCAAAGUUGACAAUGUCAGCAAAAGCCGGCAGCCUAUUAUUUUGCCAUUUAUAUUCAGUUUGAGUGCAAAGUGCAGUGUGCGAAAUCAGGAAAUAACUCAUUCGAGCAGCAGCAUAAACGCAGGUAAUGUAAUUUUCUUACUAACUCAUACGAGCGUAAAUGAACAUUUUGAUUAAGAUAUGGAUAUAGAUAUAGACACAGUUGUAGGAAUCCUU